Non-coding RNA from Pelobates cultripes (western spadefoot toad), 351 nucleotides. The record is from the annotation of a GenBank genome assembly. Lineage: Eukaryota; Metazoa; Chordata; Amphibia; Anura; Pelobatidae.
AGACAUUUAGUUUGUAUUUUAAGGCUAUGAAAGAGACAUAUGGGAGUAUUCCAAUUUCAAUCAUAGUUACUGAGGAUGAAAAAAGUCAAACAAUACAUCUCUAUGAGAAAAGUUCUGCGGCACAUUACAGAGUGUGGAGAUGCUGAAGGUCAGUGCUGCACACCCAGUGAGUGACUGCCACCGGAGGUGUGCCUGGCAGCAAUGUAAACACUUCCUUUUCUAUGAAAAGGCAGUAUUUACAUGAAAAUUUCUGUAGGCUAUAGACACCAAAACCACUAUAUUACGCUGUAGUUGUUCUGGUGACUAUAGUGUCCCAUUAACAAAAAUAAAGCCAAAACGGAGAUAAGCCAG